Molecule: ribosomal RNA, 305 nt
Filed under: uncultured bacterium
Lineage: Bacteria
Description: bacterial SSU rRNA
Rfam family: Bacterial small subunit ribosomal RNA
Source: RNAcentral
UUCCUACGGGGGGCAGCAGUGGGGAAUAUUGCACAAUGGGGGAAACCCUGAUGCAGCGACGCCGCGUGAGUGAAGAAGUAUUUCGGUAUGUAAAGCUCUAUCAGCAGGGAAGAAAUAGCGACUUUUGGGUCGCCAGACGGUACCUGAUUAAGAAGCCCCGGCUAACUACGUGCCAGCAGCCGCGGUAAUACGUAGGGGGCAAGCGUUAUCCGGAUUUACUGGGUGUAAAGGGAGCGUAGACGGCAGCGCAAGUCUGAUGUGAAAGUCCGGGGCUCAACCCCGGGACUGCAUUGGAAACUGUCCGG